UAUAUGAAGAUUUGAGGGUGUCAAAGUCUGGAAUGAGAGAAGGUUGAAUGAGGUUAGAUCUAUUAUAUCUCACAAUGUGGACAAAUGUUUGGUAAAUUUCUUGUAACUGCACAGCCCAUUGUCUAGAGGGCUUGUUCUGUCCACUGACCUCAGGCAAGGCACCAUCAGGAUCUGCUGUGUGGCUUGGUCAAGGCCAAGCAGGCUCUGUGCAUAAAAGACCAGUGGUCUGGAGUCAAAGAAAUGAGGGAAAUCAACAGAAUCCAGGAGGUUCAUCAGAAGGUCCAGGAAGCCAGAGAGAUUAACUUCAGGACAAAGAGAAGAGUUCCUGAAGAAAGACUGCUGCAGCCUGCAGAUCAGUAUCUCAAAUUUGGGUCUCCAGCUGCUGUUGGACUACAACUCCCAUUAUCCCUAGCUAGCAGAACCAGUGGUCAGGGUUGAUGGGAACUGUAGUCUGAAAACAGCUAGAGAUCCAAGUUUGGGAAACCCUGUUGUAGGUGCAAAUUAUAUUGCACCAGCCACUGCUACUUACAGCAUGUGUAGCUUGGCUACACAAAGCCCUAGCAUUGCUCUAUCCCUUGGUCUUUAUCCUCCAGCCUUUUUGCUAUGCUUAAUUUGCACUGGUGGGCAUCUUUUCUGUGUGUGAACUGAAAUAGAUGUGGUCAAAGUCAGGUGACCCUGGUAACCGGGAGAUCUCAGACUUCAUAGGAUGACUAGAGGAAAGCAAAAAAACCAACCCUCUCCAGUAGGGAUUUUAUCUCACAGUGGUUCUAAAAUUAUUAAUUUCGUGGUAGUAACCAUUAUGACCCCUGAGCCUGAUCAGCUUUCCAAUCUUUUUUUCCCUCUGAUUAGAAAUCUCAGGAGGGUGCACUGUACUCAACACUCAGCAAUACAUAAUUCUAUAAAGUCAACUUUCUUAUAACUAUGGUAAAAACAAAUAGAAAUCUGCCAGAAAGAACAAAGUAUUUCUAUUACUACCAUCAUUUUGACUUUAUACCCUUCAAAUAACCAGAAAUACACUUAGAAAGUUUCUAUGGUUUGAAACUUAGGAAAGCCAUCUCCAAAACCUGAGCAGAGGUCUCCUUGCAAAAGGAAGUUUGAAAAAGGUUUGACAGGCAACUACUAUCCACUUGUGUGUGUUUUUAGUGUAAACUUUUUCUCUUUUAUUUUUUACUGUGCUUGGCUCUUGGCAUUCCUACCACAGAAGUAAUCCAAGUGCAGGAGAUUAAUUGGACGCUCAUUAUAAAUUGCAGAUGGAGAUGGAGAAGAGAUUGUGUGUCUCAAGCCAGGUCACUAAGAGGGGUCUGUGCAUCCCUGGUGUGAGUUGGAACCUUAUCUUUCAGUAAUUGAGUCACCUUUGUUUAUUUCAGUACUUUACUUGCACUGGUUUGUCAUUGAAAACUGGGCAGAUAUGAAACUAACAGUUGCCUGUAAUUCCCAUUCCUGAUGCCAAAUAUCCUAGAAAGGGCAAGCUGAACUACUUAUGAAUUCCUGGCCCAAAGAGGCUGCCUGUAAUUUUUAGAAAUUGCAAGUGUAACUGGCAGCAGGAAUAUAACAUGAAUAUAAUAUGCCCAUGUCAUGCGUUGAUUAAAGGAAAACGAGUGCCCUUCAUAGCUUAUUGUCAAACCCGUGGUAAAAGUACCAGCCUUUUGCCCCAGCCACAAAUUUGGCUAGACCUCACAAGUGCAAUCCAAUUGCAUGGUCUCAGUUUAUCCAUAAAAGGGGUGGGUUCUGAAAAACAACACUAAGAUUGAUAUAAAUGCUUCUUUCUCUUUGGGGAAUUGUAGAUUCCUCAUCUACAAGGAUGCAGUGGGAGGGAUGCAGGAACUGCAUAAGGGAAAUCUACUCUUCUAAAUUGCCCAGUUCCACAUCCAUAGUUUUCAUUCCACUGAAUUGCUAAGCAACAAAUAUCUCCUUUUCUCAAUCAUUUCAAAUCAGUAUAACUAAACUGUGCCAUCAGCAGGUGUAGAAGCUGAGUGGUUCUAACCUGUAAUGCAAUUCCUGUAUUAGCAAAAGUGGUCAUUUACAGUUUGGAAAUACAGAUGUGAAGAGUGUGUGUGUGUGUGUGUGUGUGUGUGUGUGUGUGUGUGUACAUGUGUGUAUGCAUGCUCUCACACAUGCAUUAAGUCCUUCCUUUUACUAUAAUGAGUACCAGCCGUUUACAAAAAGCUCCCUGUAGCUCCAUGCUCACACAGCAAGACAGCUCUCACCUUGAUCAACAGCAUGGCAGAAUCCCCUCCUGCUGCUUUAGCGAUUUAUUUUCGCUGAGGUCUGCAGUUUGGGGCAGACUCAGGCAGUCAAUUAAGCAGCCAUCCAGGCUUCUCAGUACCAUCCUUCCAAGACUUGCAAUUUACUGUUAGACAGUUAGUAUUCUGUAAAGGUAGGAAGCAGAACAGAGAAGUAAGGGGUGGUUGGAGGGUGAGAUACAGACAGGAGAGAGCAUUCAGCUCUUGGGGAAUACCCAACACUGAAUUUUGCUACAGUGGCAUGGGUCUGACGAGAAAUAAAUUUACAAAGCAAUCCUUCCCACAUGCACACAUUGUGUGCCUUGCAAAAAGGCAAAAACUGCUGCUGCUGCUCAGAUAGAAUGAAUCUCCAAACCACAAUUUAGUUUCAGAGAGAGCAAGAGAGCGCUUCCUCGUCACUCACAUAGAAAAUUGCUCCUCAUCCUUUUGUUUCGCAAGUAAGGCUGAAAGCCUAUGGUCCCUAGGAGGGCAUCACAUGAGAUAACUCAGAUCUGCCCAUCUGACUUCUGACACAGAGAUUCAACAUCAAAGAGUUGAUGUCCCUCUCUGACAGCACCGGCUCCUUCAGUGCUCUGACCCGACUGAUUUCAGAGCUCCAGUGUUGAAAGGGCCAAUAGGGGUUGUGCUGAGAAGCAGUCGGGGUCCGAAGGAUCCUGAGCCCUCCCAGUCAGCUUCCAAGAGUCUCUAAACCUCUCUCUCCACUUUCUCUCCCUUUGGAAACAGUGGGAAGAAAUGUUAAACUAACAAGCAAACAAACCUGAGGUCUGGAAACAGAGCAAUAUAAAAGUUGCCUCUUCCCUCACUUCCAUCCUUCUGGCAAAGCCUGGUAGGGCAUUGGCUGAAGUAGUUAAACCACAUUUUGUUUCACACACACACACACCCUUAGGUUUGCAACCUAAGUGUCCCAGACCACUACUGCAGGAAGCUACCAUGUGGUCACCAAGCUGGAUCAUCCCAAAUGGAUUACUCCACAUAAAUUCUGCUUUCUGAAAACUCUCUGAACAAAAGUACUGCUAGUGAUUUGGCCAACACUUCAAAAAGGUGUGCUGGUUGUGUGUGUGUGUGUGUGUGUGUGUGUGUGCGUGAGAGAGAGAGAGAGAGAGUGUUUGGGUGAAAAAAAUCCACUGUGACUUGGGCUGCUUUUAAUUGCGCCAGCAAAAACACAUCCUUUUGCUUGGAUUGUGGGUUGGCUCACUUGCCAUGGCUUCUGGUAUUAUGCUGUUUACAGAAAUGGCAUGAAUAUCUAGUAGCAAGGGAUAGGGUUUAUUGCCAGGCUUAUACAUAUAAAUGCAUGCAAUGAAAUCCUGCCAUGAUCAUGACAGUAAAAACACAUGUGUAACUGCAUAGGAGGAAAUGACUCUGGGGAUGUGAUUGGGAAAGUGGGAAAGUGAUGGAUGAGUUUAGUGUUGAGUACCCCACUGGUUCUCUACUCCAAAUUGCUCCUUCUGAAUCUGUUUUUUUUUUUUCCCCCAUACAAGAAGCAGCUGCUGGGAUUUUAUUGCACAUUUGCAUGUAAAAUGCCCCUCUACCCUGAGCUUUAAAGAGAAAUUUGUCAAUGUUCCUGAGUUUUAUUUUCAGACCUGAAACAACUUAUCCUUCCCAACACUACUGGUAUUGAAACUUGCCAGAAGUCAGAAAUAUGAUUCCCUAUAUAAUUAAUUAGUUCAUUAAGAAAUUAAUUGCCUUAUACAAAAAAUCUCAAUGAAAUAAAUAAUGCACACAAAAUAUGAAAUAUACAAAUUUUUAAAACGCAAUAGCAGGAACCCACUACAACUGAUAGAAUUGUAUCUGUAAUUUGUAUUUUAGUUAUUGUGCAUUGCCUUCAAAAAUUUUGUGAAAGGUGAUGAAUAAGCGAAAUAAAUAAAACAAAUAAUAGUAGUAUAGGGAUUCAGUAGCUGAAAAUAGGAGUCAGGAAGGAAUCAUUUCAUAAUAACAAAGGAAGUCCAGAAUACCCGGAACUUGAGACAAAAUAGUUGGGGAUGGGGAUAGAUUUCUCUCUGGGUUUCAAGUGAGAAAUAUAUUAUUGUUCUAUUUUAACCCCUUGCUCAUUCCAGCUGGAAAUGUAGGAUCGGGGGGCGGGUAUCAGUAGGGAUCCAAAUAUACACACACACUUACUUCCCUUCUUUCUGAGGAACAUCCAUCACAAUGAAGGGAAAUUCUGGGACAAAGCACCUGAAAUAGAAGGUUUCUUUAAUAAUAAUAAUAAUUUUUUUUUUAAAGAAACUGCAAGCUCCUUCACCGUCCUCCCUUUUCUCAAACUGAGCUUCUCCGGUGAGGUACUUGCCAUUGAGGAAGGGAGAAGAAGCGAAGUUGAACUCUUGAGGUCCGUCCCCACCAAAUUAAGCACUUGUCUUCCUGACAGUUCCAGAUAGGUACUUUCAGUGGAUUUCAGACCUCAUACACAGAGUCCUACAUCACCCUCGGUUUAUAUGCUCAUCAAAUAAGAUUAUCCCUUGACAAUCGAAUUAUAAUAUCCCUAUUUUAUUAUACAAUAAUAAUUGUAUUAUUGCUACAAUGUUCCAAUGUAGCAACUUUGGAAAAGUGAGGUAAAACAUUUACCUAGGAGCAGGGUGGUAGGGGGGAGAGGAAGAGAAAAGGGUGCUUGGAUGUACUUGUCUACCAUUGUGGCUUGGUCCCUGGCCAAGGAUACAAAUUCCAUUUCCUCAUCCCUAGUGGCUGGUUUGCAAUCCAUUUUUUUUCAUGCAGAAAAGUUGUCAAAAGAUCACUUUCCCCCUUCACUUUGCCAUAGCGAAGUAGUCCUUCUGUAACAUGGCCUUCUGAAAUAAGCCCACAAUUUACUUUUAGCAUUUUUCAGAAUCUGGAUAAUUUUACUGUGAAAAGAUGCUAUUUUACCAGCCCAAAAAUGAAGGGAAAUUCAUUUUCUGGUGACUUUUGCAACUCAAGAGCACCCAUGGCUCUUUUCCCUGUGAUUUAAAGCUCCAUCCCUAGUAACUGUUGUUUAAAAUGAUGAGUCCUGGGAGAAACCAGGACUGGUAAAUGUGCUAUAAGGACAUCCUUGGAGUCCUCAUAGGAGUCCCAGUCUCCACUCAUGGUGAAUUCUACAGCUGUGUUCCAACACGAGGCAGAGAGGAGAGGCAGAUAAGUAGGCCAUGCCAGCUUCCCUGCCACCCCCUCCUAAACAAUGGUAUUAAGAGAGGUAUUUGGAUACCCAGAAAAUAUUUGCGGACAAAAGAAAUUUCAGCUAGGAAGGGAGGUAGCUUAGGAACGGAAAAGAGCAUCUUGUGAUGUAUCUGUUCCUUCCAACACUGGUCAGAUAUUAAGAAAGUCAAGGUGAAGGACAACUGGAAUAAUGGAUAAUUCAGUGAUAUCUGGACUGUAUAUCAGAACCACCAGUGCACCUGCAGAAAUACCUGGAGGUAUUGACUGAAAACCAUGAUGAGCAAGCAAGAUUUAAGUCUUUGUGUGACUUGGUGACUGCAAGCCAUACAUCUGCUCCUGGAAUGGAGUUAAGCUUCUGCUUUGGUGAUUCUCAUAAUUGUUGGCUCUUCUCAUCCCUUUGUCAGGACUUUUGGGAUGUGAGCACACCAACCCAGCAGAACUUUUGGUCUAUUGGGAAAGAAGCUAAACCACAUUCAUCCCCCCAUCCCCAAAGUGCAGAAUCCCUCAUCACUAACAUUGUUCUUCUGUGUCAAUGCCAUAUCUGCUCUUUAGCUUUGCUUUGGUUGGGUCAUUCACAUAAGUGUUGGGCUGAAUGCACUGUUUGGUUAUUGUAGAGUUGCUGAUAAACACUGUGCUACUGGCAGCAAUGUGUGUUUUUUUAGGAAAAGAAGACUCAAAUCUUAUGUUUUUUAAAGUAUACUUGUAAAAUAACAAAAAAACAAAAAAACAAAAACACAGGGUUUUCCUUAGACAGGAGAAGAUGGGCUGAAGCAGGAAACAGGAGAAAACUGUCAGACUUCAUGGCUGGAACAAAGGAGUAGGAAUCAAAAUUCCCCAGGCCCUCUGUCACUGACUCAUUAUGGCACCUUGGCCAACACUUUUAUCUGUUCUAUGCCCAAGCUUCUCCUCUGUGUAAUAUGAAAGUAUUCAGAGGCACUUUCAAAGAAAGCUUGCAUGGGAGUCACAAAGCUUUUAGCAUUCUCUAGUUAAUGAGAGAAUGGCGGGUGGUACUUGUUUUGGAGGAAUAAGAAUUAUUUAGUUUUUUUGUCCCUACUCUGGAAACUCAAAUGUUGCUUUUGUGCUUCCUGAGAGGAACUGAACAUCCUCAGUUCUCACUGGCCCCUGAACACUUCUGUUUUGUUUUCCAUUAAGGCCACCAGGUGUUCCUGGGAGUCAGAAAGAGCAAGUAACUUUAUGGUGGGGCAUUAUGGUGUUUCCACUCUUUCCUCUCGUGUGGUCCCUGCUUCCCUGUUUCCUUCCCCCCCUCACAGCCCUAAAAAAAAAAAAAAAGCUACAGCCUGUCACCGUGCCUGCGUGGUGAUUCAGAAGGGGACACCAGUUCCUCAAGACUGUAGGUGUAAUCGUGUUUGAUUGAUGGAAGUUUAACAUUUAGUGUUAUAAAAACAAAAAUACAAAAAAAAAGAUUGUAUUUCUUCUACAAGUUUGUAAAUAUACGAGAGUGACAUGAAAUGUCCUGUAACAUCCAUGCAAAGGAAGAAACACUUAGGUAUUAGAUGACCCAUUACUUGCUAGCAGAUUUCUAACCUUUCCCCAAGUGACUGAGGCUUAAAAGGAGUGGUAGGCUUGCCUCUUCCACAGCAUACCGAGAGAGCAUGGAGGCAGCCAUCUUGGAACAUGCGAACUCCAAGCAUGAUUGGAGCGCACCAUCAUUUGUAUGUGUCUUGCUAUGCAGCAAAAGAGUCAGCAACAUAUGCCUUUAAACUACCAAGGAGGUAGGUCUGAGGGUCACUGUGUACCUUGACAGCUUGAUUAUUUCCAUCCCACAGCCUUGGAGUUCGUAGAUCACAAAUCAAAAGCUCUCUCCCUAACAUGCUGUGUGCAUAUUUGAUCCUUUUAAGUGGUACGACUUCUGAAAGUCAAGGAUACAGUUUUGACACCAAUGAAGGCAAUGGGAGUUUGGUCAAUGACUUCAGUGGAAGUUAAGUUUUUAUGCCUUUAAUUCAGUAUUAACUAAGCAAAUGUCAUCGUUUUCAUCAUGCCUCUAGAUCACUAAAAAAAAAAGACAUAUAAUAUUUGAGGCCACACCAGCGUUUUCAGGGGAUUAACGGACAUUGAAUAACGGGGGCAGAGACAGGCUGAGAUGCCUUUGCUUUCAGCCACACCAAAGGAGACCUCCAUUCAUCAUCAUGUACUGUAAUUCCUUUAUACCUUCUCAUGAAAUAUUCCAAGUGAGUGGAAAGGACAUAACUCCUUCUGUACACUUGCUAGUACAAUCUGCUACAACAGUUCUAACUCCAACGAGUGCCACAGUUGACGUCCUCAUUGCACCUGAUAUCACACCAAACUACAAACAUCCAGAUGUCCUGUGAAUGUAAAUUUCUUGGUUGUUCCUUGUGGGAUGCGAGAUAUGGACGCUUUCAGUCUCCCUUUUGAGAGGGAAUAUAUAUUUCACUCUUGCUUCAAAUUCACAGAAACAUGGAAAUAAAUCUUUCACAGGAAUGAUGAUCGGAAAGGUUUCUGAAGUGGAAAGCAUGUGGUUUCUGGAGAAUAAAAUUUUGGUCAGGUGUUCAGUGACUUUAAAAAACAACAACUAUGCAAGACUGUAACCCUUGCAUGCAUAUGCAUUAACAAAAGGUGAUUGAAGAGGGGAGAGGGAAAGGAAAUACCCAAGUUUUUGUUUGUUUGUUUAUAGAGAUAUACAAGGAUGCCAUCUGUUCAUGGGCUACAUAGAGAAUUUUCCCCUCUUGUGAAUGACAAGUAUGUGUAUUUCAGAGAGGCUGCAUUUAUCUGUCCCUUUAAAGAUCUGAAGACAUACAGUGAUCCUGAUGGGAAAAUGUGAUAUCUUUAAAUGCUUAGUUAUUACUGUGGAUGUUAAUCUUAGCAAAUAAACCAGAAUCUGUGAAAGGCAUCUUCCUCUCUUGAGAAGUAAUUAGCCAGUGGUGGUAGAGAAGGAAAGUCACAUGUUAGAAGGACAGGAAUAACUUGAGCCAGUCCAAGGCAAGGCUGUCCACCAAGCACGUCAACAGAACCAGUCAAUGCAGAACUUAUUUCCCCUAAGUGAUGUGGUGCCAUCAGUUAAUUGAGAUGCCAUCCUCCAAGCACCACAAAAGAAACCUUCACAAGUUAUGCUACAGAAUGCAUCCUACCCCACCCUACAUUUUUAAAUGUAGAUGACAUGGUAAACAAAAAGCCAUUUUGAAUUCAGAUGCUAGUUCCUGGAAAUAAAGGUAUAUAAUUAAGUGUGCGAAACAAUUGGCCUUGUGAAUUAACCAUGCACACUGCCCUGUUCAUGUAUGCCAGGUAUAAUAGAUACCACCCUGAGUUCUUUGACGAAAGGGUGAAAUGAAAAUGUAAAAUAAAAUAUAAAAUGCCGCUCAGUGCGAUAUCUUGAUAGGGUUGCAGGAAAUUCAAAAAAGUAUCGAGCAUCUCCUAUGAAAGUGACUUGUGGGGUUAGAAAUAUGUCCUCUGCCUUGGUUGCUUCUGUAAUUCCUAGUAGCGCAAUUAACUCCUAGGGGUUGGAUCCAGAGUGUUAGAUCCCACUGAAAUUAAUCGGACUUCUGUUGAGUCAUGGUUUAACUUGUCCCAUUCAUUUUAAUGGGACCCAAGGACAACAAAUGUCAUCUAGAUCCAACCCUAUGUGAAACAACCAUAACCUACACGGAACAACAAUAUGCAAGGAACAUGGCCACCUAACUACUUUUCACUGAAAGCCUAUCUCAAACUAGAGUGUUUUCCUUCUUCUGAAGUUGUUUCAUUUGCUCCCCACUUUGGUCAAAGGCAGACAUGCACUUGCACGGCAACACAUGCAGAUCCCACCACCACAACCCCUUCUGCUUCCUGAACUAUGACCAUCCCAUUACCUCGCCCUCCUUCUCCACCUUCCCCCAUGGCACAUGCAACCUGAUACAGACUUGCUGGACGUGCUGUAUAAUAAAAGUCAUAAGCUUUGUGGCUUGUGGUGAGCUCCUGCUAACAAGAAAAGGGUUAUGCAGACCAGGGCAGGGAGAGGGUGGUAAAGUUGUCUCCAGCAACUACCGGCCUUUCCCAUUCCCCCAUCUGCAGCCAAAUUUUUCCUUUGGGUCUCGGGGAGAAUAUUCAGUCCCUUCUUGCUGCACUGCUGGGCAGUUAGAAUUCUCCUCAUUAACAGUGUUAUAUACAUAUAAAUAUAUAUAUAUAUCUAUAUCUUUAUAUAUAUUUUUCCCCAGCACCGUAGACAUGAUCUGAACUUCUCUUUAAUGAAAACGAAAACACGGCCAUUCUAUUUUAUUUUGUUUUGUUUUAUUUCUGUCAGUUUUUCAACAAACAAACAAACCUAGGUCUGUGGAAGAAAAUUUUUUAAAGCGCAGUGUGUGUGUAAAAACAAAAAAUGAC
Non-coding RNA from Podarcis lilfordi (Lilford's wall lizard), 9695 nucleotides. NCBI's taxonomy places the organism in Eukaryota, Metazoa, Chordata, Lepidosauria, Squamata, Lacertidae. The record is from the annotation of a GenBank genome assembly.